UAUAAACUGAGUGACACGUCAAAGGCAACCAAGGCAAGACAAGAAAAGCACAGGCAACACAAACUUGGCUCUAGUGGCUACAUGAAACUUGUUGCAUGAAUUGGCUCUGAAUUCAAUAGAGCACCCACAGAAGAUGACAAGAGAAUUUACUACCAGCAAGGCUAUUCAACCGUGGUUGAUCGGCUACGAGAAUUGAGUGGGCAUACACAACAUUCGAGUGCAUCCGUCACACAGCCUGCUAAUUGUGAAACACCACCUGCACAUGAAGGUCUAGAUGUGCAUCCUAGUAGUGGAGAGCAUGUAGUCGGUGGUGACCAAGUGGAGCAUGAUCUGGGUACACAACAUCAGGAACAUGAUGUUCCCCACUCAG
This is a long non-coding RNA of Cryptomeria japonica (Japanese cedar), 370 nucleotides long. RefSeq lists it as uncharacterized. The record is from RefSeq and is a predicted model, not a curated record. The transcript has 4 exons. Lineage: Eukaryota; Viridiplantae; Streptophyta; Pinopsida; Cupressales; Cupressaceae.